This is a non-coding RNA of Mesitornis unicolor (brown roatelo), 46 nucleotides long. NCBI's taxonomy places the organism in Eukaryota, Metazoa, Chordata, Aves, Mesitornithiformes, Mesitornithidae. The record is from Rfam.
CAUUAGGCUUUUUUAAAAGCCCCAGUUUUAGAUUUUUAGUGGAUGU